RNAcentral lists this ribosomal RNA (472 nucleotides) under uncultured Saprospiraceae bacterium. RNAcentral describes it as "bacterial SSU rRNA". It matches the Rfam family "Bacterial small subunit ribosomal RNA", at positions 28 to 505 of the family's 1533-position model. Lineage: Bacteria; Pseudomonadati; Bacteroidota; Saprospiria; Saprospirales; Saprospiraceae. The record is from RNAcentral.
GAUGAACGCUAGCGGAAGGCUUAAUACAUGCAAGUCGAGGGGCAGCAUUAUUGACAUUAGUUGAUAGAUGGCGACCGGCGCACGGGUGAGUAACGCGUACACUACCUACCUUUCACUACGGGAUAGUAUUGGGAAACUGAUAGUAAUACCGUAUGGUCCACUUCGGUGGUAAAGAGUUAUCGGUGGAAGAUGGGUGUGCGUUAGAUUAGCUAGUUGGUAAGGUAACGGCUUACCAAGGCGACGAUCUAUAGGGGGCGUGAGAGCGUGAUCCCCCACACGGGUACUGAGACACGGACCCGACUCCUACGGGAGGCAGCAGUAAGGAAUAUUGGACAAUGGGCGGAAGCCUGAUCCAGCCAUUCCGCGUGGAGGAAGACGGCCUUAUGGGUUGUAAACUCCUUUUAUCAGGGAAGAAACCCCGAGAUGUAUCUUGGGCUGACGGUACCUGAAGAAUAAGCACCGGCUAACUCCG